RNAcentral lists this long non-coding RNA (621 nucleotides) under Sorghum bicolor (sorghum). Its description in RNAcentral is "long non-coding RNA (SBIC_LNC000050)". The record is from RNAcentral. Lineage: Eukaryota; Viridiplantae; Streptophyta; Magnoliopsida; Poales; Poaceae.
GCGAGGCAAUGGGCUCGUAUACGUUGAGAUCGCAACCGAGACCCCCGAAUAAAGGUACAAAUUAAGCUUAGCUGGUGUGAGUGCAGUGCAACUGACUUUGCUGCCGAUGGAUAUGACAAUUCAGACAUGGGCAUGAAAGCUCGGUGCCAAACUACGCCACUUGCCCUUAUUAUGCUGCAAUAACUGUGGAGGAGACUCGGUGCUGUCCUGGUAGAAGAAGCCAAGAAGUAGAGUAAAACCAUGGUCAUGGCGACGCCUCAUCAGACGAUCAAGGAAGGUUCUGUCCUUUAUGAUAUUACGCCAAGACUUGCACGUUGAAGCAAGGUGGGCUAGGGAGCCAGGAUCACUAAUAUGAGACAGGAUCUUCAAUCUUGUCGGUCAUUUCUUCCGGAAGCUGCAGCAUCGCGCCAUUCUCCAUGAUCGUUUCCUGCAAAGAAAAGAUGGGAGCCAAUUUUGUUUAGAACACCACCAAAAGAAGACUGUCCGUAGCCGUAGGCCUGCACAGUUUUGCUGCUGCCGGACUUGUGCCCACAUGCGCACAGUAGGUUUGAUAUCUAUGUUCAGCAAUGAUCCUAGUGUUCGUUCUCAUUCCAUAAGCCUAACCCUAGCGAUCGUUGCCUA